RNAcentral lists this microRNA precursor (191 nucleotides) under Oryza rufipogon (brownbeard rice). RNAcentral's name for it is "MIR812 microRNA precursor family". It matches the Rfam family "MIR812 microRNA precursor family". The record is from Rfam by way of RNAcentral. Lineage: Eukaryota; Viridiplantae; Streptophyta; Magnoliopsida; Poales; Poaceae.
UAUAGUUGUGGAUUUAUAUGUUCAAUGUUUAACCGUCUGUCUUAUUUAAUUUUUUUAUAAUUAGUAUUUUUAUUGUUAUUAGAUGAUAAAACAUGAAUAAUAGUUUCUGCGUGACUUUGUUUAUUUUGUAAUAAAAUUUUAAAUAAGAUAGAUGGAAAUAUUGGACAUAAAAAUCUACAGUUACAUUUAAA